This 425-nucleotide ribosomal RNA is filed under the name uncultured bacterium. RNAcentral describes it as "partial 16S ribosomal RNA". It matches the Rfam family "Bacterial small subunit ribosomal RNA", at positions 354 to 796 of the family's 1533-position model. The record is from RNAcentral.
GUGGGGAAUAUUGGACAAUGGGCGCAAGCCUGAUCCAGCCAUGCCGCGUGAGUGAUGAAGGCCUUAGGGUUGUAAAGCUCUUUUGUCCGGGAAGAUAAUGACUGUACCGGAAGAAUAAGCCCCGGCUAACUUCGUGCCAGCAGCCGCGGUAAUACGAAGGGGGCUAGCGUUGUUCGGAAUCACUGGGCGUAAAGCGCACGUAGGCGGACCAUUAAGUCAGGGGGGAAAGCCUGGAGCUCAACUCCAGAACUGCCUUUGAUACUGAUGGUCUCGAGUAUGGAAGAGGUUGGUGGAACUGCGAGUGUAGAGGUGAAAUUCGUAGAUAUUCGCAAGAACACCGGUGGCGAAGGCGGCCAACUGGUCCAUUACUGACGCUGAGGUGCGAAAGCGUGGGGAGCAAACAGGAUUAGAUACCCCAGUAGUCC